AGAGUUUGAUCCUGGCUCAGAGUGAACGCUGGCGGCGUGCCUAAUACAUGCAAGUCGAACGGACAAGUAAGAGCUUGCUCUUAUGAGUUAGUGGCGCACGGGUGAGUAAUGUAUAGUUAAUCUGCCCUACACUGGAGGACAACAGUUAGAAAUGACUGCUAAUACUCCAUACUCCUUCUUAACACAAGUUAAGUCGGGAAAGUUUUUUCGGUGUAGGAUGAGACUAUAUUGUAUCAGCUAGUUGGUGAGGUAAUGGCUCACCAAGGCUAUGACGCAUAACUGGUCUGAGAGGAUGAUCAGUCACACUGGAACUGAGACACGGUCCAGACUCCUACGGGAGGCAGCAGUAGGGAAUAUUGCUCAAUGGGGGAAACCCUGAAGCAGCAACGCCGCGUGGAGGAUGACACUUUUCGGAGCGUAAACUCCUUUUGUUAGGGAAGAACAAUGACGGUACCUAACGAAUAAGCACCGGCUAACUCCGUGCCAGCAGCCGCGGUAAUACGGAGGGUGCAAGCGUUACUCGGAAUCACUGGGCGUAAAGGACGCGUAGGCGGAUUAUCAAGUCUUUUGUGAAAUCUAAUGGCUCAACCAUUAAACUGCUUGAGAAACUGAUAAUCUAGAGUGAGGGAGAGGCAGAUGGAAUUGGUGGUGUAGGGGUAAAAUCCGUAGAGAUCACCAGGAAUACCCAUUGCGAAGGCGAUCUGCUGGAACUUAACUGACGCUAAUGCGUAAAAGCGUGGGGAGCAAACAGGAUUAGAUACCCUGGUAGUCCACGCCCUAAACGAUGUAUACUAGUUGUUGCUGUGCUAGUCAUGGCAGUAAUGCACCUAACGGAUUAAGUAUACCGCCUGGGGAGUACGGUCGCAAGAUUAAAACUCAAAGGAAUAGACGGGGACCCGCACAAGCGGUGGAGCAUGUGGUUUAAUUCGAAGAUACGCGUAGAACCUUACCUGGGCUUGAUAUCCUAAGAACCUUGUAGAGAUACGAGGGUGCUAGCUUGCUAGAACUUAGUGACAGGUGCUGCACGGCUGUCGUCAGCUCGUGUCGUGAGAUGUUCGGUUAAGUCCGGCAACGAGCGCAACCCACGUAUUUAGUUGCUAACAGUUCGGCUGAGCACUCUAAAUAUACUGCCUUCGUAAGGAGGAGGAAGGUGUGGACGACGUCAAGUUAUCAUGGCCCUUAUGCCCAGGGCGACACACGUGCUACAAUGGCAUAUACAAUGAGACGCAAUAUCGCGAGAUGGAGCAAAUCUAUAAAAUAUGUCCCAGUUCGGAUUGUUCUCUGCAACUCGAGAGCAUGAAGCCGGAAUCGCUAGUAAUCGUAGAUCAGCCAUGCUACGGUGAAUACGUUCCCGGGUCUUGCACUCACCGCCCGUCA
This 1377-nucleotide ribosomal RNA is filed under the name uncultured bacterium. RNAcentral describes it as "bacterial SSU rRNA". It matches the Rfam family "Bacterial small subunit ribosomal RNA". The record is from RNAcentral.